Molecule: long non-coding RNA, 263 nt
Filed under: Elaeis guineensis (African oil palm)
Lineage: Eukaryota; Viridiplantae; Streptophyta; Magnoliopsida; Arecales; Arecaceae
Description: long non-coding RNA (EGUI_LNC039580)
Source: RNAcentral
CCCUCCAUCCCAGGUAGCUACUUCUGCCUUCAUUCUUUGGAAGGUCCAUCCGAGACUUGUAUUCCCUUUCGCUUUGUUCUUGCUUCUUCUUGAAAUCCUUUCUCCUUCUUCUUCUCUAUCUUUUCCUUCUUUUUGGUUCUGGCAUCAUGGUCAGGACUUCUCCUCAGGAAGCUCGGUUGGGGAACUCGAUCGAUGAUCUUCGGUCGACCUCGAAAGUGGAGGUCUCCUCACUUUCGGGGCCGAAUGUCGAUCGGCUUCGGGAU